AGAGUUUGAUCAUGGCUCAGAGCGAACGCUGGCGGCGUACUUAACACAUGCAAGUCGAACGAGGAGCGCCGGUGUAGCAAUACAUCGGUGCUUCUAGUGGCGCACGGGUGAGUAACACGUGGGCAACCUGCCCUCGAGUCCGGGAUACCCUCUCGAAAGGGAGGCUAAUACCAGAUACGUUCCUCGGAUCGCAAGAUCUGGGGAGGAAAGGUGGCGAAAGCUACCGCUCUUGGAGGGGCUCGCGGCCUAUCAGCUAGUUGGUGAGGUAACGGCUCACCAAGGCUAUGACGGGUAGCUGGUCUGAGAGGACGACCAGCCACACGGGAACUGAGACACGGUCCCGACUCCUACGGGAGGCAGCAGUGGGGAAUUUUCCGCAAUGGGCGAAAGCCUGACGGAGUGACGCCGCGUGGGGGACGAAGGCCUUCGGGUCGUAAACCCCUGUCAGAGGGAAAGAAGGGUCGCCGACCUAACACGUCGGUGAUCUGACGGUACCUUCAGAGGAAGCCCCGGCCAACUCUGUGCCAGCAGCCGCGGUAAGACAGAGGGGGCAAGCGUUGCUCGGAAUCACUGGGCGUAAAGGGCGCGUAGGCGGGAUGGCAAGUCGGUCGUGAAAUCCUUCGGCCCAACCGAAGAACGUCGGCCGAUACUGCCGUUCUUGAGGGAUGCAGAGGAGACUGGAAUUCCCGGUGUAGCGGUGAAAUGUGUAGAGAUCGGGAGGAACACCGGUGGCGAAGGCGGGUCUCUGGGCAUUUUCCUGACGCUGAGGCGCGAAAGCGUGGGGAGCAAACGGGNNUAGAUACCCCGGUAGUCCACGCUGUAAACGAUGACGACUANGUGUGGGGUGGGUUAGUCCAUUCCGUGCCGCANCUAACGCAUUAANUCGUCCGCCUGGGGAGUANGNCCGCAAGGUUGAAACUCAAAUGANU
This 929-nucleotide ribosomal RNA is filed under the name uncultured bacterium. Its description in RNAcentral is "bacterial SSU rRNA". It matches the Rfam family "Bacterial small subunit ribosomal RNA", at positions 8 to 910 of the family's 1533-position model. The record is from RNAcentral.